AGAGUUUGAUCCUGGCUCAGGAUUAACGCUGGCGGUAUGCCUAACACAUGCAAGUCGAACGGAAUACUCGAAAAGAGAAUCUCACACUAGUGAGAGGUUCUCCAACCGAGUAUUUAGUGGCGGACGGGUGAGUAACACGUUGGAACCUGCCCCGAAGUGGGGAAUAACUGCUCGAAAGAGUAGCUAAUACCCCAUAGUAUCCGGUUUAUCCGGAUUAAAGAUUUAUCGCUUCGGGAGGGGCCUGCGUCUGAUUAGCUUGUUGGUAGGGUAAAAGCUCACCAAGGCGACGAUCAGUAGCUGGUUCGAGAGGAUGACCAGCCACACUGGGACUGAGAUACGGCCCAGACUCCUACGGGAGGCAGCAGUGAGGAAUCUUCCACAAUGGACGAAAGUCUGAUGGAGCAAUACCGCGUGCAGGACGACGCUUUUCGGAGUGUAAACUGCUUUUGUCGUCGAAGAUUAUGACUGUAGACGAAGAAUAAGGACCGGCUAACUACGUG
RNAcentral lists this ribosomal RNA (500 nucleotides) under uncultured bacterium. RNAcentral describes it as "bacterial SSU rRNA". It matches the Rfam family "Bacterial small subunit ribosomal RNA", at positions 8 to 507 of the family's 1533-position model. The record is from RNAcentral.